GGGGCGGAGCAGCACCAUCCCUCUGCGUGACCGCUCCCACACGGCUGCGGCGGGUGGAGCUUGUCCUCGCGUCGGAAGUGGAAGUGCUGCGUGCGGAAGUAGCUCUGUGGUAGCGGAGGGGCGGUUGAUGGGUUGCCAGGAUGUUCCGUGCCGCUGUGGACAUUCAGCCCGCCUGCCUCGGGCUGUACUGCGGCAGGACCGUCCUGUCAGUCAACGGCUCCGUGGAGACUUACGGGGAGUGCGGGGUAUGCCCUAGAGGUCAAAGAACUGAUGACAACAAAAUCUGCCGGGAAUGUAUGGGAUCUCCAGACCGCUAUGACUGGUUGUACCUUGGCUUCAUGGCCAUGCUUCCGCUGGUUUUACACUGGUUCUUUAUUGAGUGGUAUUCAGGAAAAAAGAGUUCCCGCGCACUGUUGCAGCAUGUAACUGCCUUGUUCGAGUGCAGCGUUGCAGCAAUUGUUACGCUGCUUGUCAGUGACCCCGUCGGCUCGGUGCAUAUCCACUCCUGCAAGGUGAAGAAGCUUUCGGACUGGUACACGAUGCUUUACAACCCAAGCCCUGACUACAUCACCACGGUGCACUGCACUCAUGAAGCAGUCUAUCCCCUGUACACCAUUGUGUUUAUAUAUUAUGCUUUCUGUCUUGUGUUAAUGAUGCUACUUCGGCCUCUUCUGGUUAAGAAAAUUGCCUGUGGUUUAGGAAAGUCCGAUCGAUUUAAAAGCAUUUAUGCAGCACUAUACUUCUUCCCUAUCCUCACCGUGCUUCAGGCUGUUGGAGGAGGCCUGCUUUGCUUCUGGCCAAGACUGCUUUGUCUCUGCUGGUGCUGCUAGAGACUGUGCCUUUCUCAAGAAGGGAAUAGAAGGGGUGUGAGAGGAAAUUACAUCAGAGGGAGCUCCUUCCACUUUCUGCUAAGGUAGAGUUUGUCUGAUUUCAGAGGUGGAUCAAAGUCUAAGUUUGGACAUAUCUGCUAUUUUUGGGUUUGCUUCCAGCAUACUUGUCACAUGAAGGGGACAGGCACCACAAAAUCCCCACUCAGCCUGAUUGCUUUUCUCAUUAUCUGCCUUUUUCAGUUAGUGAUUUAAGUGUACAGUAACUCCACCUAGAAAUAACAGAAAAAGUUUGAAAACCUAAGACAGAAGUGUUGAAUGGUUGUGCUAGCCUGAGCUUUACCACUGUGUGUGUUUGAUGGGAUGAUAAGAGGUGGACUACAGUAGCUUAGUUUACUUCACACCCAUGGUUAUACGUGGAAAAGCUACCUCUGCUGAAAUGUGUAUCGAGUGUUCUUUCUCCUGCUAAUGUGUUUGAUGUUUACCUUUAGAUUAUGCCUUCCCAUACAUCAUACUGGUGUUGUCUUUGGUUACACUGGCUGUGUAUAUGUCUGCGUCUGAAGUGGAGUCUUUCAAGGAUCUUCUUGUGAGGAAGAAAAGGCUUGUUGUCCUCUUCAGCCACUGGUUACUUCACGCCUAUGGAAUCAUCUCCAUUUCCAAACUGGAUAAGCUUGAGCAGGACCUGCCAUUGCUUGCCUUGGUACCUGCACCUGCCCUCUUCUACUUGCUGACAGCAAAGUACACCGAGCCAUCGCGCAUACUCUCGGAGGGUGGAAAUGGACAUUGAAAGGAGCCUGUGCCAACAACACUGUCCCAAUGAUCUGAAUUAAGCAAUUUUAGUGCUUGUUAUGUUUUGGAAACUUCUGUUUUAAAAGAAGUUAUUUAUGAACUGGACUUCUAGGUGAAACACCUGAGUGAGACUGGAGAAUAUAAAAAAAGCUGCACUUUGUAUUCUUCAUAAGUAUCUGGUAUAGAUGGAAGGGAAUGUCCUUGUAUCUAUUUAUCACUGUGAAUCUGUAUAAAAAGCUUGCGACACAUUCUAGUAUAGGGGUUUGCUUGUGUAUGUUUGUUUCUUAAUACAGUAUUUUAGGUGGUGUUUGAAUAAAAUGCUAGAGUUGGGUUUUCAGUAGACUUUCAAUGAAACAAAUAGGGUCUUUUCUCUGUAUUGUACAGGAAGAUACCCAAAGCAUGUAUCCUGUAUCUAAGUCACCAGUGACGUAGUGCUAUGGAAGGUCUAGAAGAUGCAGAGCAGUACUGAAGGUCUAAACACAGAAGAAAGAGCUAUAGGAAACAUAGUGCUCUGUUUUCUGAUCGUGUACUCCACCAGUGGAAAUAGAUUUUUCCUUCCAUCAAAAAAUAGAACAUGUUGAGCAUGAUUCCUUAUGACGGAAGGUGGAAGGAGAGGAAAUGCAUUUUCAAGUUCUCUAUAAAAGCAUAGCUUAUGCUCUGUGUACUUCAUGGAGGUGAUUAAACAGUAGUAUCCUUCCCACUAA
Molecule: RNA transcript, 2320 nt
Organism: Strigops habroptila (Kakapo)
Lineage: Eukaryota; Metazoa; Chordata; Aves; Psittaciformes; Psittacidae
Gene: JKAMP
Gene name: JNK1/MAPK8 associated membrane protein
Exons: 7
Source: RefSeq, a predicted model, not a curated record